GAUGAACGCUGGCGGCGUGUCUAACACAUGCAAGUCGAACGGACAUUUUUUGGAAAGUUCUUCGGAACCGGAAUCUAAAUGUUAGUGGCGGACGGGUGAGUAACGCGUGAGCAAUCUGCCUUUCAGAGGGGGAUAACAGCCGGAAACGGCUGCUAAUACCGCAUAAUGCAUUGGAUUCGCAUGUUUCUGAUGCCAAAGAUUUUAUCGCUGAAAGAUGAGCUCGCGUCUGAUUAGCUAGUUGGCGGGGUAACGGCCCACCAAGGCGACGAUCAGUAGCCGGACUGAGAGGUUGAACGGCCACAUUGGGACUGAGACACGGCCCAGACUCCUACGGGAGGCAGCAGUGGGGAAUAUUGCGCAAUGGGGGCAACCCUGACGCAGCAACGCCGCGUGAUUGAUGAAGGUCUUCGGAUUGUAAAAAUCUUUAAUCAGGGACGAAGAAAAUGACGGUACCUGAAGAAUAAGCUCCGGCUAACUACGUGCCAGCAGCCGCGGUAAUACGUAGGGAGCAAGCGUUAUCCGGAUUUACUGGGUGUAAAGGGCGUGUAGGCGGGCUUGCAAGUUGGAAGUGAAAUCUCGGGGCUUAACCCCGAAACUGCUUUCAAAACUGCGAGUCUUGAGUGAUGGAGAGGCA
This 634-nucleotide ribosomal RNA is filed under the name uncultured bacterium. RNAcentral describes it as "bacterial SSU rRNA". It matches the Rfam family "Bacterial small subunit ribosomal RNA", at positions 28 to 659 of the family's 1533-position model. The record is from RNAcentral.